UGGGGAAUUUUGGACAAUGGGCGCAAGCCUGAUCCAGCAAUGCCGCGUGCAGGAAGAAGGCCUUCGGGUUGUAAACUGCUUUUGUACGGAGCGAAAAGGCUCUCUCUAAUACAGGGGGCUCAUGACGGUACCGUAAGAAUAAGCACCGGCUAACUACGUG
RNAcentral lists this ribosomal RNA (160 nucleotides) under uncultured Hydrogenophaga sp. RNAcentral describes it as "partial 16S ribosomal RNA". It matches the Rfam family "Bacterial small subunit ribosomal RNA", at positions 355 to 507 of the family's 1533-position model. Lineage: Bacteria; Pseudomonadati; Pseudomonadota; Betaproteobacteria; Burkholderiales; Comamonadaceae. The record is from RNAcentral.